UGCGCCCAUGAGCCUACGAGUAGGCCGGCGAAAGUGACCUGGCCCACCACAGCUUACUGGAGCGGUGGAGCCCAAAAAGGGAACAACGAGACACCUCCCUCUCCCUCUCCGGAAUCACGGCACCCACCGGCCCGGACACCACUCCCUCCCCUAUCAUCGCCCUCGCCGAAGAAGGGGGCGCGAGACGGAGAUCGUCUUCUCCGGCACCGGUGUACAGCAAACGUAUUCCCUUUUAGCUACUAAGAUGGUGGAGGAGACAGAUGGACCAGCAGGUUGCGGAUGGGGAGGAGUUGAUGAGGGCAUGUUCCCGGCGCCCUCUGACGCGGCCGACCUUAUGCACUUCGUGGCAACAACUGGAGCUCUCCCUGGCGGCCGAGAGGUCGAGGAUGCCCGCCGGAACUGCUCUCCCCAUGCCGCCGCCGCUGGCGACCAGGACGACUGCUCUCCCCAGGGGGAGGAAGGCUCCACUCCUGGGACAGACGAGGAAGCGGUGUCCCCAGGCUACUCCAAGAGGGUCAGGGGCGCGAACAUGCCGUGAUGAACGCGUGGGGGCGAGAAUUCAAUUAGGAAUGCGCCUACCGCUGGCUAGGGGGAAAACAUCUUUGAGCCGUCGGUUGGAACUGAGUUCAAUUCGUUAGCAGAGGCUCAGAUAUUCUACACCUUGUAUUCAUAGGAAGCAGGUCUUAUGGGUGCCUUGUUGAGGAACGCCUCAGCUGUUAUGGGUGUGUUGCUCUGUUGUUAAACACUUGAUUGUCUGUACAUGUUUCCCAACCUGUUACAUAUGUUUGUGUUUGGCAAAUUGUUGCCUGACCUUUAUAUAUUGCAUGCGUUUGCCGCUGCUUGUGUGUA
This is a long non-coding RNA of Brachypodium distachyon (stiff brome), 849 nucleotides long. RefSeq lists it as uncharacterized. The record is from RefSeq and is a predicted model, not a curated record. The transcript is spliced from 3 exons. NCBI's taxonomy places the organism in Eukaryota, Viridiplantae, Streptophyta, Magnoliopsida, Poales, Poaceae.